AUUGAACGCUGGCGGCAUGCCUUACACAUGCAAGUCGAACGGUAACAGGUCUUCGGAUGCUGACGAGUGGCGAACGGGUGAGUAAUACAUCGGAACGUGCCUAGUAGUGGGGGAUAACUACUCGAAAGAGUGGCUAAUACCGCAUGAGAUCUACGGAUGAAAGCAGGGGAUCGCAAGACCUUGUGCUACUAGAGCGGCCGAUGGCAGAUUAGGUAGUUGGUGGGAUAAAAGCUGACCAAGCCGACGAUCUGUAGCUGGUCUGAGAGGACGAUCAGCCACACUGGGACUGAGACGCGGCCCAGACUCCUACGGGAGGCAGCAGUGGGGAGUUUUGGACAGUGGGCGGAAGCCUGAUCCAGCAAUGCCGCGUGCAGGAUGAAGGCCUUCGGGUUGUAAACUGCUUUUGUACGGAACGAAAAGCCCCGGGUUAAUACCCUGGGGUCAUGACGGUGCCGUAAGAAUAAGCACCGGCUAACUACGUGCCAGCCGCCGCCGUAA
This 498-nucleotide ribosomal RNA is filed under the name uncultured bacterium. RNAcentral describes it as "partial 16S ribosomal RNA". It matches the Rfam family "Bacterial small subunit ribosomal RNA", at positions 30 to 523 of the family's 1533-position model. The record is from RNAcentral.